UAAUAGAAUAGUUCCUAAGAAGAAAUCAAACACAAACUUAUCAAAGAAAGCAGUUUUACAGAAAGACACCAGAACCGACACCAAUGGGACCAAUUUGUUUCCCACAAACGCUAAUGUACAUUAUAAUCUUUUACAUAUCACUAAGAAUGCCUUAGAAGAGGCCAAAUCAUUUGUAAGACUUGUAAAGAUAGUUUAUUGAUGCUGAAGAUCAAGCCACAAUUUAGCACUCACAUCCACUUGACCUAGGCUGACUGCUGGCUCCAACAUCAAUGGUAUCUGGCAAAUAACUUCAAACCACAAAUUUGCCACCAGAAGCAAAACCAAAAAUGAUAUCAGAGUCAUUUUAAAUUUGUUCAAAUAGAAAAUGGAUAAUAACUUGUAGCUCUUAGCAAGUUCACUGCAAUAGUCAAAUCAUCUAAUUUGACGGAGUUGUGGCACCAUGGUUUGUGCUUCACAAAAUGAAAAUGCAACAUUUACUAUUUAAGUAAACACAGUUUUGGUUUUGGGAGUCACAUGGGAACAAACAGGGGUACUGAAUCAAUUUUCAAACUUUCUCACUAGCUAAUCCAAAUGUAGAACUACUCUAAAAGAUCAAUAGAUAUGUUUCAGAACUAUUAAUUACAAUAGAUAUUUGGGAUAACAUGACAUUCCUUCAUAGGUAUUUUUAGUUUAACGUGCAAUUCAAAAUUUUAUCAAACUAGUAACUUGUCAAACUACAUGUGCAGUUGUGCAUUCCUAAACAUAGUAAUCACCAUAAAAACAAAGGCUGUACAUAAAACAAAGGCUGUACAAGUGUGUGCAGAUGAAGAUGAUUAGUUCUGUAACUUACAUCUCCUCCUCUUCCCCACUCUUCAGGGCAUUCUUUGCUAUGCAUUGGAAAGCUUCUUCCACAUUAAUGCCUUCUUUGGCAGAGGUCUCAAAGUAUGGGAUAUUCCCUUUCGAGGCACACCAAGCUCGUGCCUUUUUUUCUGAAACCACUCUACUAUUUCCACCAUCCACAUCAAUCUUGUUUCCAAGAACAACAAAUGGGAAAUUCUCUGGAUCUGACGGACUUGCCUGAAUAAGGAAUUCUUCCCUCCAGUUGUUAAGGUUGUCGAAAGAUUUCAUUGAAUUAACAUCGUAUACAAGAACACAGCAAUCAGCACCACGAUAGAAUGCAACACCAAGGCUUUGGAAUCUUUCCUGGCCAGCAGUAUCCCAGAUCUGUAAAGUGAAGAGCCUAUCUUCGAAUUGCACUUCCUUAGUCAAGAAAUCAGCUCCAAUUGUCGCCUUGUAUUGAUUGCUAAACUUCUUAUUUACAUAUCUAAAAAGCAGCAAGUCAAGAAAAACAUAUGCAAAGACAAAAAGCACCAGUUGCUUUAUCAUGGCAAUGAAUUUUUUUCCCUUAAUGAAACAUAUAUAUCACUAAUCAGAUAACCAAAUGAAACACAUACAUCACUAAUCAGAUAACUAAUAACUUAAGGAUACUGAUUCAUCAAAGAGGUCUUUCCCACCCUGUAAAUCACAAUCAAAUGCAAUUUAUUAACUUAAACUUCACCAAAAACAAUGCAGAACAUUUAUUAGUAGCAACUAAGACAGCCACAACAGUUCAAAUCACUUCAUAGGUACAAUUCGCAUUAACAGAAAAGAAUCAAACACUUAAUUUUACCCAAAAUACCUAGCCAAAACAGAUAAUCAUCAGAUUCAUAUUUAACAAAAACAAAAAGUCAGUCACAAAAAUCGAGCAUCGACAACUUGAACAAGUGAAAAUAAAGAAUUCCUAAAUCAGAUCAAAAUUCAACUCGAAAAAUUCAUACGAUCUCGAAAUAUCCGCCUAAUCUACCAAACAAAACCCUAGAAUUUGCAACUAUACAGAAUAAUUACAAACGUAAAGGCAACUAA
Molecule: unclassified non-coding RNA, 1881 nt
Filed under: Hevea brasiliensis (rubber tree)
Lineage: Eukaryota; Viridiplantae; Streptophyta; Magnoliopsida; Malpighiales; Euphorbiaceae
Source: RNAcentral